Molecule: small nuclear RNA, 21 nt
Filed under: Arabidopsis thaliana (thale cress)
Lineage: Eukaryota; Viridiplantae; Streptophyta; Magnoliopsida; Brassicales; Brassicaceae
Description: snRNA_05279
Source: RNAcentral
UCUUUUAUUCUACGUUUAAAC